Molecule: ribosomal RNA, 236 nt
Filed under: uncultured bacterium
Lineage: Bacteria
Description: partial 16S ribosomal RNA
Rfam family: Bacterial small subunit ribosomal RNA
Source: RNAcentral
CCGCACGGGUGAGUAACACGUAUCCAACCUGCCGUCUACUCUUGGACAGCCUUCUGAAAGGAAGAUUAAUACAAGAUGGCAUCAUGAGUCCGCAUGUUUACAUGAUUAAAGGUAUUCCGGUAGACGAUGGGGAUGCGUUCCAUUAGAUAGUAGGCGGGGUAACGGCCCACCUAGUCUUCGAUGGAUAGGGGUUCUGAGAGGAAGGUCCCCCACAUUGGAACUGAGACACGGUCCAA